AGCAGCCGCGGUAAUUCCAGCUCCAAUAGCGUAUAUUAAAGUUGUUGCAGUUAAAAAGCUCGUAGUUGAAUUUCGGGAUCAAUUUAUUGGUCGUGCUAUUGUACGUACUGGUAUUAUUGAUUCCUACCUUCUGACGAACCAUGAUGUCAUUAAUUUGGUGUCUUGGGGAAUCAGGACUGUUACUUUGAAAAAAUUAGAGUGUUUAAAGCAGGCUCACGCUUGAAUACAUUAGCAUGGAAUAACGAAAUAGGACGUUUGAUUCUAUUUUGUUGGUUUCUAGGAUCGACGUAAUGAUUAAUAGGGAUAGUUGGGGGCAUUAGUAUUCAAUUGUCAGAGGUGAAAUUCUUGGAUUUAUUGAAGACUAACUACUGCGAAAGCAUUUGCCAAGGAUGUUUUCAUUAAUCAAGAACGAAAGUUAGGGGAUCGAAGACGAUCAGAUACCGUCGUAGUCUUAACCAUAAACUAUGCCGACUAGGGAUCGGAUGAUGUUAAUUUUUAAUGUACU
This 505-nucleotide ribosomal RNA is filed under the name uncultured Glomus. RNAcentral's name for it is "SSU rRNA". It matches the Rfam family "Eukaryotic small subunit ribosomal RNA", at positions 569 to 1078 of the family's 1831-position model. Lineage: Eukaryota; Fungi; Glomeromycota; Glomeromycetes; Glomerales; Glomeraceae. The record is from RNAcentral.